CCCUUAGAUGCUCUGGGCCGCACGCGCGCUACACUGGUCGAUGCAACGAGUUUCUUUCCUUGGCCGACAGGCCUGGGCAACCUUUGAACGCCAGUCGUGCUGGGGAUAGAUUCUUGCAAUUAUUAAUCUUCAACGAGGAAUUCCUAGUAAACGCAAGUCAUCAGCUUGCAUUGAUUACGUCCCUGCCCUUUGUACACACCGCCCGUCGCACCUACCGAUUGAAUGGUCCGGUGAAAUCCUCGGAUCGAGCCGUGGGGCAACUCCGGUUCGAGAAGUUGAUUAAACCUUACCAUUUAGAGGAAGGUGAAGUCGUAACA
This 317-nucleotide ribosomal RNA is filed under the name uncultured eukaryote. Its description in RNAcentral is "partial 18S ribosomal RNA". It matches the Rfam family "Eukaryotic small subunit ribosomal RNA", at positions 1470 to 1796 of the family's 1831-position model. The record is from RNAcentral.